This 460-nucleotide ribosomal RNA is filed under the name uncultured bacterium. RNAcentral's name for it is "partial 16S ribosomal RNA". It matches the Rfam family "Bacterial small subunit ribosomal RNA", at positions 338 to 795 of the family's 1533-position model. The record is from RNAcentral.
CCUACGGGAGGCAGCAGUGAGGAAUAUUGGUCAAUGGACGAGAGUCUGAACCAGCCAAGUAGCGUGAAGGAUGACUGCUCUAUGGGUUGUAAACUUCUUUUAUAUGGGAAUAAAAUGUUCCACGUGUGUGAUUUUGUAUGUACCAUAUGAAUAAGGAUCGGCUAACUACGUGCCAGCAGCCGCGGUAAUACGGAGGAUCCGAGCGUUAUCCGGAUUUAUUGGGUUUAAAGGGAGCGUAGGUGGAUUGUUAAGUCAGUUGUGAAAGUUUGCGGCUCAACCGUAAAAUUGCAGUUGAAACUGGCAGUCUUGAGUACAGUAGAGGUGGGCGGAAUUCGUGGUGUAGCGGUGAAAUGCUUAGAUAUCACGAAGAACUCCGAUUGCGAAGGCAGUUCACUGGACUGCAACUGACACUGAGGCUCGAAAGUGUGGGUAUCAAACAGGAUUAGAUACCCCAGUAGUC